CCUUUACUAUAGCUUCGCCUUGGCGUUAGCGACCGUAUGUGUAGGAUAGGUGGGAGGCUAUGAAACCGGGGCGCCAGCUCUGGUGGAGCCAUCCUUGAAAUACCACCCUUACUGUCGUUGACGUCUAACCGAGGGCCGUUAUCCGGUCCCGGGACAUGGCAUGGUGGGUAGUUUGACUGGGGCGGUCGCCUCCUAAAGUGUAACGGAGGCGCGCGAUGGUGGGCUCAGACCGGUCGGAAAUCGGUCGUCGAGUGCAAUGGCAUAAGCCCGCCUGACUGCGAGACUGACAAGUCGAGCAGAGACGAAAGUCGGCCAUAGUGAUCCGGUGGUCCCGCGUGGAAGGGCCAUCGCUCAACGGAUAAAAGGUA
Molecule: ribosomal RNA, 368 nt
Filed under: uncultured alga
Lineage: Eukaryota
Description: bacterial LSU rRNA
Rfam family: Bacterial large subunit ribosomal RNA
Source: RNAcentral